RNAcentral lists this transfer RNA (57 nucleotides) under Heterorhabditis bacteriophora. Its description in RNAcentral is "tRNA-Leu". Lineage: Eukaryota; Metazoa; Nematoda; Chromadorea; Rhabditida; Heterorhabditidae. The record is from RNAcentral. RNAcentral also lists the same sequence under 1 other name.
ACAUAUAUAGUAUAGUAAAUACAUUAGAUUUAGGUUCUAAAGAUAAUUAAGUAUGUU